This is a long non-coding RNA of Thalassophryne amazonica, 431 nucleotides long. RefSeq lists it as uncharacterized. The record is from RefSeq and is a predicted model, not a curated record. The transcript has 3 exons. NCBI's taxonomy places the organism in Eukaryota, Metazoa, Chordata, Actinopteri, Batrachoidiformes, Batrachoididae.
AGGUUAUAAUUCUGCCAAGAACAUACCUGUUUUCUUCACAGCCUUUCUGAUAGAUGUUUCAAGUCCUGAAAUCCAGUUGUUGUCCAGAGUUUCCCCUCCAAAAAGAAAACAUGGAAAACAGCCAUUUUUCACAUUUGAACCAUUCAUGGUUGAAUGAUCUAUUUUUAUCCUUUCCUUCUUAACAAAGGGUGAAAUCCUCUGGUCUAUGGGGUCCCAGACAUUUAAUCUCUAAUUUAUUGAUCGGUGGAGUACCAAAUCACACAGUCGCUAAAUAAUCUACUCGGUUCAUUGUUUUUCUAAACAGCAAACUAGUUAACUGACAAGGUAGCGAUGCCCAGUACCCGCCCUCACACCAAAUCAACCAAUAGGAAAGCGUCUGGGGCCCUGGCUGUCAGGCCCCACCAGCCAAACUGACGUGUGUUGCGGGCACG